This 504-nucleotide ribosomal RNA is filed under the name uncultured Rikenellaceae bacterium. Its description in RNAcentral is "bacterial SSU rRNA". It matches the Rfam family "Bacterial small subunit ribosomal RNA", at positions 903 to 1382 of the family's 1533-position model. Lineage: Bacteria; Pseudomonadati; Bacteroidota; Bacteroidia; Bacteroidales; Rikenellaceae. The record is from RNAcentral.
CGCCUUGCCAGCCCGCUCAGAAACUCAAAGGAAUUGACGGGGGCCCGCACAAGCGGAGGAACAUGUGGUUUAAUUCGAUGAUACGCGAGGAACUUACCUGGGCUAGAACGCAAUCGGAAUCAGGCCGAAAGGCCUGCGCCAGCGAUGGCCGGUUGCGAGGUGCUGCAUGGUUGUCGUCAGCUCGUGCCGUGAGGUGUCGGGUUAAGUCCCAUAACGAGCGCAACCCCUACUGCUAGUUGCCAGCGGGUCAUGCCGGGGACUCUAGCGGAACUGCCAGCGUAAGCUGCGAGGAAGGUGGGGAUGACGUCAAAUCAGCACGGCCCUUACGUCCAGGGCUACACACGUGUUACAAUGGCCAGUACAGAGGGCAGCCACCCCGCGAGGGGGCGCUAAUCCUAAAAGCUGGUCCCAGUUCGGAUCGGAGUCUGCAACCCGACUCCGUGAAGCUGGAUUCGCUAGUAAUCGCGCAUCAGCCACGGCGCGGUGAAUACGUUCCCGGGCCUU